This 660-nucleotide ribosomal RNA is filed under the name Pantoea eucalypti. RNAcentral's name for it is "bacterial SSU rRNA". It matches the Rfam family "Bacterial small subunit ribosomal RNA", at positions 52 to 703 of the family's 1533-position model. Lineage: Bacteria; Pseudomonadati; Pseudomonadota; Gammaproteobacteria; Enterobacterales; Erwiniaceae. The record is from RNAcentral.
UACCAUGCAGUCGGACGGUAGCACAGAGAGCUUGCUCUUGGGUGACGAGUGGGGGACGGGUGAGUAAUGUCUGGGGAUCUGCCCGAUAGAGGGGGAUAACCACUGGAAACGGUGGCUAAUACCGCAUAACGUCGCAAGACCAAAGAGGGGGACCUUCGGGCCUCUCACUAUCGGAUGAACCCAGAUGGGAUUAGCUAGUAGGCGGGGUAAUGGCCCACCUAGGCGACAAUCCCUAGCUGGUCUGAGAGGAUGACCAGCCACACUGGAACUGAGACACGGUCCACACUCCUACGGGAGGCAGCAGUGGGGAAUAUUGCACAAUGGGCGCAAGCCUGAUGCACCCAUGCCGCGUGUAUGAAAAAAGCCUUCGGGUUGUAAAGUACUUUCACCGGGGAGGAAGGCGGUGAGGUUAAUAACCUCGCCGAUUGACGUUACCCGCAGAAAAAACACCGGCUAACUCCGUGCCAGCAGCCGCGGUAAUACGGAGGGUGCAAGCGUUAAUCGGAAUUACUGGGCGUAAAGCGCACGCACGCGGUCUGUUAAGUCACAUGUGAAAUCCCCGGGCUUAACCUGGGAACUGCAUUUGAAACUGGCAGGCUUGAGUCUUGUAGAGAGGGGUAGAAUUCCAGGUGUAGCGGUGAAAUGCGUAGAGAUCUGGAG